GCCUUUGCUGGUGUUCUGUGUGUGAGUCCAGGAUAGGGAAUCUACAUAUGAAUUGAAUAAUUAUACUUUGAGUACAUGUUCCUUCAUCCAUGACAUUGAAAAAGGGAGGAACAGGUUCAGACUUCAUGUAAAAGCUUCAUGUAAACGUGCUACAGAAUUCAACUCUGUGAAUUUAAUCAGCACUUUGAGGAGCAGCAGAGGUCACUUCAUUAUAGCUGUUACUGGCCUCGUUUCUCUGUGCUUCUUCACUACCAAGAAAAACAUCGCACCGCAGGAGAUAUAAGCUUAUUUCAUUGGCGAGGGGAUUCCCACAGCUGUAAUAACCGUCAGCACCACUGGGUGGUAGUCGCUUUCUUCAGAUGGAGAGCAGAGCCGAGUGGGGGGACUUAGAGCCGGAGACUCCGCCAGAGGCCCUCCUCGGCGCUCCACACCUCGUACGAACCGCAGAUUUUGUGGGAUCCACACUUUGCCGCAGUCUCAGCUCGUUCAGAGGGCUGUGUGUACCUUGCAUCUCUUUUUCAGUGAGUCUACUACUAUGGCAAAGAGCAAUGCUAGCCAUGCUGAGUCCGGACAGCCCACUCCCCGGCACCUGCAAGCAGGUGGUGUCAGUGUUUUGUUAGCGAGCAGAAACACUGGUUGUGUCCUAGCAGGGUCAGCGACUGCGUCUUUCUGCUUCUAAGGUGGAGAAAUACGGUGAAUAUAGAAUGACUGGGGAUAGCUAAACAUGAGAGUAAUGCUUAUCCUUCUAAGCCCUCUAAACAGGCCGGUGAGUCUUAGUGCAGCCUGUAAAGGAACGUCUUGUGCUGUCAGCUCUAAAGUGUGUCACAUUAAAGUCUUACAAGCUGGAGGAGAUGUGUUGAGAUCGCCUUCAGUUGUCUCACGCUGCUGCAGUGCUGAGCAUGUUCCAGCAGUCUGACCGUACUGUGACUCAAGCAAGGGGCAUAUUUUUUAUACUGCAGGUCAAGAUUGGCCCAAAGAGGUUUUUUAGCCCCCUACCUCUGGGCCUAGAGUCAGCAGCUCCCUUCCUGUGAGCUGGCAGCAGAAUUGGAGCUGGAGGUUUCCAGCACAUCAACUUGUGUGCAUUUGUGUGAUUUGGCUUCUGUGCCAUCUCCCCUUCUGCU
Lagopus muta (rock ptarmigan) is the source of this 1121-nucleotide long non-coding RNA. RefSeq lists it as uncharacterized. The transcript has 3 exons. NCBI's taxonomy places the organism in Eukaryota, Metazoa, Chordata, Aves, Galliformes, Phasianidae. The record is from RefSeq and is a predicted model, not a curated record.